This is a non-coding RNA of Mycena latifolia, 87 nucleotides long. The record is from the annotation of a GenBank genome assembly. Lineage: Eukaryota; Fungi; Basidiomycota; Agaricomycetes; Agaricales; Mycenaceae.
GACCUGGUAGCACAAAGUCAGUGCGUCUGCAUAUAGUGUGAUGUUGCUUGUCUGCAGAUGAUCCCCGUUCGAUUCGGGGUCAGGUCA